Molecule: ribosomal RNA, 253 nt
Filed under: uncultured bacterium
Lineage: Bacteria
Description: partial 16S ribosomal RNA
Rfam family: Bacterial small subunit ribosomal RNA
Source: RNAcentral
UACGAAGGGGGCUAGCGUUGCUCGGAAUCACUGGGCGUAAAGCGCACGUAGGCGGCUUUCUAAGUCAGGGGUGAAAUCCUGGAGCUCAACUCCAGAACUGCCUUUGAUACUGGAGAGCUUGAGUCCGGGAGAGGUGAGUGGAACUGCGAGUGUAGAGGUGAAAUUCGUAGAUAUUCGCAAGAACACCAGUGGCGAAGGCGGCUCACUGGUCCGGUACUGACGCUGAGGUGCGAAAGCGUGGGGAGCAAACAGG